This 482-nucleotide ribosomal RNA is filed under the name uncultured bacterium. RNAcentral describes it as "partial 16S ribosomal RNA". It matches the Rfam family "Bacterial small subunit ribosomal RNA", at positions 30 to 507 of the family's 1533-position model. The record is from RNAcentral.
AUUGAACGCUGGCGGCAUGCCUUACACAUGCAAGUCGAACGGUAACGGGCCUUCGGGUGCCGACGAGUGGCGAACGGGUGAGUAAUACAUCGGAACGUGCCCGAUCGUGGGGGAUAACGAGGCGAAAGCUUUGCUAAUACCGCAUACGAUCUACGGAUGAAAGCAGGGGACCGCAAGGCCUUGCGCGGACGGAGCGGCCGAUGGCAGAUUAGGUAGUUGGUGGGAUAAAAGCUUACCAAGCCGACGAUCUGUAGCUGGUCUGAGAGGAUGAUCAGCCACACUGGGACUGAGACACGGCCCAGACUCCUACGGGAGGCAGCAGUGGGGAAUUUUGGACAAUGGGCGCAAGCCUGAUCCAGCCAUGACGCGUGCAGGAUGAAGGCCUUCGGGUUGUAAACUGCUUUUGUACGGAACGAAAAGCCUUCUUUUAAUACAGGAGGGUCAUGACGGUACCGUAAGAAUAAGCACCGGCUAACUACGUG